RNAcentral lists this long non-coding RNA (920 nucleotides) under Sarcophilus harrisii (Tasmanian devil). RNAcentral describes it as "lncRNA (ENSSHAG00000020790.1)". The record is from RNAcentral. Lineage: Eukaryota; Metazoa; Chordata; Mammalia; Dasyuromorphia; Dasyuridae.
CGGGCGGGAAGCCGGUCCCCCCCUGACCGGGUCUCCGAUCGCGGAUCUUCCUUCCGGGCCUGCCUCGGGCUCCUUCCCCGGGGCCGUGCCCCGAGCCCACGUCCUUCGCCCUCAUGAAGCCGAGGAGGGUCAUUAGGCAGCUCCUUGAUUACGGGGCUUGGGGAGGGCUGUAGCGAUUACCUGGGGACCGGAGCGCAGAUGAAAGGGACUCAGGCGGCUGUGGAGCGUUCCCCCCUGCAAACCUCGGGUUCCGACCCCCCUUCCUCGGGACGCCCAUAAUCCACUCUGGGCUAAAGGCGGGCGAUUCUUCUCCGCACCAGGAAACACGGUGUUUAAAUGUGGGAACCACAGCUUAGAGGGAACAGAGCCCGGCCUGACUCACUGGCUUCCCACACGAGGAAACUCGGCCCGGGAGGGCAGAGAAUCCUGGCGAGAUCCGAGCCCCGAAUCAGCGCUCGGACAACGAAGCUGGACGGCCGUCCUCUGAGUCACCGGCUCACAAGCUGCUUGUCAUCUGGGACUUCCUGGCCGAUCGCUGCCAAGGGCUGUUAUCUCUACCUCCUCUCUGCUCCCUCCUCUUCUCUGCUCCUGCUCCUCCCUGGUGCAGACCCUCAUGACCUCACACCUGGACCUCAGCAGUAGCUGCCGAGGGUGGUCUGCCUGCCCCAGGUCGCUCCCCAUUUGGCCAACAGAACUUUUUUGUAAAGCUCAGUAUGCUCAUGUUACCCCCCUGCUCAAUAAAGUCCUGUGGCUCCCUGUCACCUUCAGAGGCAAAUACAACAUCCUCUGUUUGACUUUAAAGCCUUCCAUGAUCUGGCCUCCUCCUGCCUUUCUCAUGUUCUUACACCUUUCUUCCCCCCCCCCCCCACCUGUGACUCAGUGACCCCGGACUCCUGGCUGUCCCUCUCACAAGACAUUGC